UACAGAGGUCUCAAGCGUUGUUCGGAUUCAUUGGGCGUACAGGGUGUGUAGGUGGCUCCGUAAGUCGGGUGUGAAAUUUCGGAGCUUAACUCCGAAAUUGCAUUCGAUACUGCGGUGCUUGAGGACUGGAGAGGAGACUGGAAUUCAUGGUGUAGCAGUGAAAUGCGUAGAGAUCAUGAGGAAGACCAGUGGCGAAGGCGGGUCUCUGGGACGGUACUGACGCUGAGACGCGAAAGCGUGGGGAGCGAACAGG
RNAcentral lists this ribosomal RNA (253 nucleotides) under uncultured bacterium. RNAcentral's name for it is "partial 16S ribosomal RNA". It matches the Rfam family "Bacterial small subunit ribosomal RNA", at positions 524 to 776 of the family's 1533-position model. The record is from RNAcentral.